Molecule: long non-coding RNA, 4774 nt
Organism: Oncorhynchus kisutch (coho salmon)
Lineage: Eukaryota; Metazoa; Chordata; Actinopteri; Salmoniformes; Salmonidae
Exons: 7
Source: RefSeq, a predicted model, not a curated record
UAGUUAUUACCAGCAGCAGCUGGACUGGGAGCUAAAAUAAAGAUGAAAUUCUAUUGGAGUAAAACCUCAUGACCACGCCCACUACUAUUGGUUAAAUUUAGAUUUCCCGCCAUUUGUCUAUUUGCAAGUGUCUCGUGAAAGGAAAGCGUGGACAGAUCGAGAGCGUGGAUCCGCCGAACAUCCGUAGUCAUUCACUGAACCACAGCAUUUCUUCACUUCUGAACUUAAUCAGAGUUCCAGGAUGCAGGCUGUACGAGUGAAGUACAGGGAUUGUCAGAAGUACAUUUGUUAUGAGUUGCAACUGACCUUCAAAUCCUUUUUGGAUUGUGUUGCCAAUAAAUUUGACAUUCCAACCUUGGACUUAAAAGUCUAUGAUGAAUCGAAGACUGAAGUUGAUGAGGAGGUGUUUGAGUUUCUUCUAAAGAAGCAAGACCUUGGUGUGCUGGAGAUUUGUUUACCGCAAGACCCAAAUCCUGAUGGGUAGUUGCUUAUUAGCUUAGUGCUUCACAUUCAUCCAUACAGUCGUAGCUAGCCUAACACAUGUUCUGAAUAUGUGAGACAAGCAGAUAUAUCUGCUGAUUUUCUUUUCUCAUUUUUAUAUUUUAAAAUGAUCUUUGUUUCUGUGCUCACCUAUCCCAUCCCGUUUAGAACAGUAGUGGGCCUAAUCAAUUCAAAACGUAACAUUUUUGCAUUCCGCUUGUCAUUAACAAAAGUCCUCUAAUCAUAAUAAUGGAUGUUUCCACCUAAAUUGUGUUAUAAUUACAGUGUUAUUCACACCAGUUAAAUGUUAACAUGAUUGCUAGAUUCGUUGAGCUUCUCUGCAAGCAGCUCCUUAUCAAAAUACAGUGGAUACAAUGAGGGGGACUCCAAUGACACCAUUAUAUUGCAGCAGAGUACAAGAAAGACAGCUGAGGAUAAUCGUCUAUCUCAUAUGAUUGAAGACAUUUUGAACAACAAACCUGGAGGAGAGAGGAUCAUGAUUUAGUAUGCUCGGACAAAAAGCCUAACAGAUAGCAGAAGACGCGAUAUGGCCAAGAUAUUAGUUGCACAAAUUACAAGUGAACAUGGGUAUAUGUCAUAUACUCAUUACAUACCUUACCACCUAACACAAUUUUUUAGCAGAAGUUUUGAUUUACACAUUAAUACUUUUGUUUGGAUCUCAAACAGUAAAGUGUGUGUGUCUAGGACAAGUCCUUCAAGGCGUGUUAGAGGACUACGCAAAGGGCAUCAUUGCCUUGUUCCCAUACCUGGCCGAUCCUAGGAGCAAAUUUGGUUAUGUAAGUACAUUAAAAACAAAGUCUAAAGUCUAGCAUCAGAGGGACGACAGAAGACCAUGCAUCAGUCACUGACAUGUAAGUGAUUGUAGUUAGUCUCAUUCAUGACACAUGACUAGAUAAUAAUUGUAUCUGAACAUCUGUAUAAGCAAGGGUUUCUUAGUCUCUUACUCUUUUAGUAUUUCUUAGUAUUAAUAUAAUAUAAAUAAACCCUACUUUUCAUCUGGUGACAUAACUGCAUGCAUGGCCAUCUUUGCAGAGUUUCCGAGCCCUGUUUAUUAUAUCUUAUGACACAAUAUUGUAUGCUUGUAUAGAGCAGGCAAACCCAGUAAUCUGUAAAAGUUUCACCAUGUUACAGGUGGUCCAAAAGCUGAUGGGCAGUUUUCCUCUCUAAAGGAGUCUCUAACAUACAGCUGAAGCAUACAGCUGAUGAAACAAUUGUAAAGGAGAAGAUGAAGCAGAUGUUCGCCUAUUGUCAAAAUAUGGUUCAUGACCCAGUGAAGUCCUCUGAAAUAUUCACAACGUUUCCAAGAUUCCAAGACAUAGCAGCAAUGAUUUUAGUCUGAUGUUUGGUGAUGCAACCUCUGCAAAGUUCCUGGAGAAGUGGCCUACUCUCUACAAGGAGAAAGUCAUUGACCAAAGCAGUGGCCUCACACAGACAGGCGACCUGGUUCAAAAUGCUGAAUCCACAACAGAAGUGGAAAAUGGAUGGGACAGUGACAUGUCCUCCAUUUUGGUCCUUGUCCACCUUCUGCCACCGUCACCUCAUGGCUGCAAGAGACCAGGAAAAAUCUCAACCAGACACACCAGUGAACACAUUGAAGUUUAUCACGGUGUCAUUACAGUUGACUGUUCUGUCCCCAUUCCUAAUCCUAAUAACUACUUUUAAGAUUAUGGACAAAUCAUGACUGGGACCAGUAUCCAGGGGCAUCUGGAGAGCAUCAUGGAAAGCCUUCAACCCUAUCUGCUUGCUGUGGGUUCCCAGAGGAGUGGGAUUCACAAGAACUCCAUUGUGAUUGACAAACAUGCAAUACCUUGUAAGUCACCAGACUCUUGCCUGUUUUGAUGAGCUUUUCAAAGCUCAUGUUUGUCUUUGGUACCUUGUAUAUUCAGGAUCUGGUAAAUGUGUACAACUUUUGCAAACCACAAUUUAUGAAAUUGAUGUUGAUACCACCAAGGUUAAUCCUAGGGUUGCAGAGUUGAGGGCUCGGAUGCUGCAUUGAGUUACUAAAAGUUUUGAUGUUUUGAAGGGUUAAAACGCAGCAUAGGAAAUAACCUUUUUCCUUUCACACAAACGUUUUCAUAUCAUUCAUCUAAAAUGUUGUGUUUUGCUUGCAAAAGCACACAGGCAAAUGCCAAUUCCUUGACAAAACACUUGAAGUUGGUCCACAGACGUUUGUCAAGGAAAGACACUUGGUCUUAAAUGUGGUCAGGCUGGUUGUUCACAAGUUUAUGGCACUUUUUCUGGGUUCAGAAAGGAUCUUUAUAAAGCACAUGAACCUUGUUCUGAUCACAGUGAAGGCUCCUGAAUGUAGCACUAAGUCAUUUUGAUGACCUGCCAUCAACAAGUUCCCCUUCUGACUCAGUCCUUGCCAAUAAGAGUCUUGUAGACAGCUGCGCUGCAACCAUAGCUGAACUUAAAGUGGCAGGUGUAGGUGAAACAACCAUUAGCUCUUUGGUAAUUUCCAAUGAAGAGAUAGUUGAUGAUAUUCAUAUUCAAGCUAAAGGAUCUGGGAAGAAGUGUCUGUCUAUACAGGAGCCUAUUAAAAGUGACAUUGAGUGUAAAAUUGAUCAGUGUUUAGAAAAAAUGUAAAAUCCCUUUGGUGUAUUAAAUUCUGAAAGUAAGAGAAGGCAGUAUUUUACAGAAAAGUGGGGAAGGGUAGACCCAGUUGAAUGCGUUCUUGGUACAAGAUUUGAUACACAAUACAAUCGGACUACGGGAGGCUACGAUCAAAUUAUUGUUACUGAUAUAUUUGUUUACAUCCCAAUUUUGAAAACAUUAGUUUAUUUACAAACACCCUAAUAUAAAGGAGAUGAUGCAGACUGAUUCCAGUUCAAGAGAACUUUAUGACUUAUGUGAUGGAGAUCUGUUCCAAGAGCCAUGCUCUAUUUUCAAAACAGAAGCAAUUCAGAUACAGCUUCUCUGAGAUGAUUUUGAAACUGUAAAUCCUCUUGGAUCAAAACAGGGAAAACAAAAUAAAUUAGGAGCAAUCUAUUUCAAUUUAUGUAAUUUUUCUCCAAAGUUCAAAUAAUUUCUGCUUAAUAGUAAUUUGGUUGCUUUAUUUCAUGCCCAAGACAUUAAAACAUAUGGCUUUUCAAAAAUCUUGAUCCAAUUGUGCAGGAUAUUAAAAUACUUGAGGGAUGGAUUUAUGGUUCCCUUGUAUGAUCAACCAGUGUAUGGAACUAUUGUCCAAGUCACAGGUGACAACCUUGGUCUUCACUGUUUAUUUGGUUUUGUCGAAUCAUUCAUUGCCAGAUAUUGUUGUCGCUUUUGUCUUGCUGAGACAGACGACUUUCAGACUGAAUUUGAUGAAGAUUCACCCAAGAUAGUUAUGCGAACUCGAGCACUUCAUGCAGAAAGAACACUGCCAAAAAAAAGGCGACAAAUCCCAGUCUUCCCUAUGUGAUGGGUGUUAAACGUUCUUGCGUUCUAAACUCCUUGCCGUACUUCAAUACACGUGAAAACUUCUCUCUCGAUAUUAUCCAUGAUCUCUUGGAGGGAGUGGCACAAUAUGAAAUGAAACUGCUAGUACUGCACUUGAUAGACAAGUACACAACAUCAAAUGAAAUAGACAGGAGAAUAAAGAGCUUUAACUGUGGUUACAUGGAGCAAAACAACUAACCUCCUGCAUUCAAGUUUGUUUAUUGUCUCAUACUGUUUCCCGAGCUCUUUAAAACCAAGAUGUAUUGUAUUGCAAUAUUGGCUUUUUGAUUUACUUUUAAAGGAGGGACAGAUGCCAAAAUGUAAUUUAACUUUAACUGUGGUUACAUGGAGCAAAACAACAAACCUCCUGCAGUGAAGUAAGGAGAGAACUCUAAUGACUUGGGGCUAAAUGCUAUCCAGUCCUGGUGUUUACUUCGCAAUCUACCACUUCUCUUUGGAGACUUAGUUUGUCCAAUUGAUCUACACUGGUAUUUACUGUUGCUGUUGCUUCAGUGAUAUCUCCAAUGAUAUCAAAGGGUGUUACAAUUUUUUUGAAACACUUAAUCGCAGAACACCACAGGUUAUUCAAGCAAUUGUUUCCAAAAAAGAGGCUGCUACCGAAGCAUCAUUUUAUGGUGCAUUACCCCACAUGUAUGCUUGAAAUUUGACCAAUUUUACAUAGCUAGUGCAUGUGCAAAAUGAAAAUGAAGCAAAGCAUAAUUCCUUUAAAAAACAAUUACAAAGCUUAAAUGUAACAAACAUUGGCAAAAAGAACACAAGUCAAACAGCAUACAGUUGGUAGACAUUUGACACCAACAGAGUCAUGAUUGGUCCAGGUAAAAUGUUAUCUUUAAAU